GCGGACGUGGCGGAAUCGGUAUACGCAGCAGACUUAAAAUCUGCCGGCCCAUGGUCUUGCGGGUUCAAGUCCCGCCGUCCGCACCA
RNAcentral lists this transfer RNA (86 nucleotides) under Agrobacterium rubi. Its description in RNAcentral is "tRNA-Leu". It matches the Rfam family "tRNA". Rfam says of the family: Transfer RNA (tRNA) molecules are approximately 80 nucleotides in length. Lineage: Bacteria; Pseudomonadati; Pseudomonadota; Alphaproteobacteria; Hyphomicrobiales; Rhizobiaceae. The record is from RNAcentral. RNAcentral also lists the same sequence under 5 other names.